CAUCCUAUAUAUUAACAAUAGAAACCAUUACUAAAAGUACUGUGGAGGCGCUGAGAGGGGCUGAGGUUGGAGUAUUUCAAAUUGGAGCUCCCUCAGCGUUUUCGUCACUGUGCAUUUCAAAGGACGCUGCUGCGAUUCGAAAUUGUGUUGUUCUUCAGAUUUCGGCUCCUCCCUCCAAAACCUGUAGCAGUUCGAAAGGUGUGAAUAGGAACGCAAGAUUCUUAGUAAUCAAUAUGUUGUUUGCUUCAUCCCUUUCCCUAUAAAUAACAAUUGAUAGUUUCCAUUUCCAUCACAAUCCAUUCUCGAUCAGUUCUUCAUCUUCUCUGUUUUGGGAUUUCUAAUGGGUAGGAAGCAGAGAGAAUGAAGGUUAGAGUUGUAAGGAUUCCUCAUAUCAAUUCUUGCCUCCAGUAGCAUCUGCUCCACUUAUAGUGCAUAAGACUUCUUGGUUGAGUUGCUGUGGCCUAUUCGAUGUUCUGUCAGGCUCUAACGGAUAAAUCAGACGGCGAACAACGACCAACAUUUCUUUGGUGAGGUUAGAAUCGGAGGUGCUGAUCUUGCAAAGUCUGUGAAAAUUGAAAAAAGUGGGAUUAGUUACAUUGAUAUUCCAAUUACCUUCAGGCCUAAGGAUUUUGGGUCACUUAAGCAUUCACACAGAACAAAGGUUAUCACUAGGUCCUCCCUUUCUUCACUAUAACACACAGCCACUGUGGCAUAUCACUAGCAAUGGCAAUGAUCAUAAGAAAAUGGAAGUCAUUGGCUUGGUAGAUGGAGAUGGGACCGAAACCGGAUAUAUAAUUGUCAGUCACAACCAUUGCUGGUAAAAAUGGCCAGCCAAAGCAGAACAAGUUAAAUUAUUGUUGAGAGAAUGAGGCAAGGUUUUCUCUCGAGCCGAGCCUAGACACAACGAAGAAAUUGUGAGACUAUUGAAGGAAAUGGGAGAGAUUGUUGCAAUGACUGGAGAUGGUGUGAAUGGUGCACCUUCACGUAAGCUUGCUGACAUAGGAAUUGCUAUGAGAAUAACUGGAACUGAGGUAAGGUAACCUGACUUUUGCUAUACUGAGGUCGCGGUUAUGCUGCAAACCUAUAUAUUGUAGUAAUAAUUAAUAAAGGUUGAAAUAAUAUUUCACCAUUUUAUCAUAAUAUUUGUUUAAAAUUUAUUUAUAUUGUGGUAAGAAGGUGAAAUAUGAUUUAAUAUUUGUCAUAAUCAUUAGUUGAAGUGUGGGGUAAACCUCAAAGCUAAGACGUGUCUUACUUCGCUGUGAUUAUUUCUAACCUUAUAUUGCUAAAUAACAUAGGUUGCAAAAGAAGCUUCAACUAUGAAGCUUGCAGGUGACAAUUGUAGUUAUAAUUGAAACAGGAUCGAAAAACAAGAAUGCUCCUUGGAUUAGUCUUAAUUGUUGUUAUUCUUUACUUGCUGCUGAAGCUCUUCCAUUGUUAAUGUUUCCUCUACUAUUUUGUUUCUCUAAUCAGCCUGUUUGCCAUGAUGUUAGUAAUUUUAAACUGAUAAUAUCCAUAUGGAGUUAAAAAAAAUGUGUUUUAAGGUGAAUAUGAAGCACAAAGCAUAAUAAUUAUUCAGAAACUUGAUCUUAAGUAGAUUGACAUUUGUUUUAGCUUCUUGAAUGUACUUCUUUAUCUUGGUAGCAAUGAUGUUCAAUGCCUAUGUAAUUAUUCUUUUUAUGUAGAUAUUUAUAUUUAUAUAGAUUGUAAAUGCGAGCUUCCGUUUUUGGUUUUGUAUAUAUUAAAAUUAAAGUUUGCUGUUAAUGAAGUUGUUUUAAGAGUUUAAAAUUAGCACAUUAUGCUCCUGUAAAUUUCGAAUGGAGAUUUAAUUAUUGAAAUUUCAAAAUGUGUAUGGUGAAAUGAAAUUUGUUUUACUCUUCUUGCAUGUGUUCAUAUUUGAUUUGAUGAUGCUGCCAUUGAUUACAACUCUUAAGAACCCUUUUGAACCAACUCACAAGUUAUAUUGACAAGAAAGUUGUUGUGAGCUAUAUUUUAGUCUAUUAUUAGUUUUAGAUGUCUACUUUUUUGGUAUUGAUUUUCACAUCCACAGGCCCAGGGUAGCUGACGCUAAUGCACAUUGUGACUUAUUUAUGUUUGGCCCAGAAUUCGCUUUUUAAUCCUUCAAUGCUUGUCCUAUAAACUGUGUAAUUUGUAAUGAUUCGGUGGAGAGUGAUUGGCAUUUUCUUUUUUAGUGUGAUAUGAGUAUUCAGAGCUGGCAAACAGCAGGAUUAUGGCCUCAAAUUUGGGACAGAGUUCAAAGAAUGAAUUCAGUAGCAGAAGUGGUGCUAGAUAUUUGUUCGUGAGAAGUCGAGGCUGUGGUGAAUUGAUUUAUGAUGAUUGUGGCAUAAUAGGAAUGAAUGGAUAUGGAAUCAAAAACAAAUGAACCCAAACCAGAUUACUCAAUGGUCAGAUUGAUUUAGGUUGAAGGCAUAUGGCACCACUCUAACUCCACUCUAACUCAGGUGGAAUUAGGCCUUUCAAACUACAAUUUGCAUGAUUAAGAUGAGUUAGAUUUAUAAGCUUACCAAAAUGAAGUGGAACUCCAUCAUCAAACUCAUUGUAAUAUCCUAAAAAAGGAAAGCUUCACUUCAGUGGUUCUUGGAGAAAAGGAAGAAUAGGGCAUCAUAUCAAACAACUUAUCCAGUAGCAACCACUAAUAAGACAGUUGAUGAAUCAUGGCAUGGCUCUUCUUGACAUCACAACACAAAUCUGAAUGUAGCUCCACCUCAAUGUUAUUUUAACCGAUUUUGUUUUGUUGGACAAACUCCAACAUUUAAUAGGCUUCUUUGCUAUCCUGUUGUUGUUUCUCUAUGAAUUGGAUUGAUCAAAUCAGAUGUGUGUUUCUCUAUUUUUGCGGGACUGAGUCCUAUGCUAAGAAAAAUAUCUACACAUAUUUGUGAAGGUUGUUGCUCAUGCUUAUUAGUAUCAUAUUUAAGAAUGUAGUUUUGAUUGACCCCACACAGUGUACUUAUAGUUACUUACAUUCAUUAUA
Long non-coding RNA from Trifolium pratense (red clover), 2989 nucleotides. RefSeq lists it as uncharacterized. The record is from RefSeq and is a predicted model, not a curated record. NCBI's taxonomy places the organism in Eukaryota, Viridiplantae, Streptophyta, Magnoliopsida, Fabales, Fabaceae. The transcript is spliced from 10 exons.